AGUGAACGCUGGCGGUAGGCCUAACACAUGCAAGUCGAACGGCAGCACAGUAAGAGCUUGCUCUUACGGGUGGCGAGUGGCGGACGGGUGAGGAAUACAUCGGAAUCUACUUUUUCGUGGGGGAUAACGUAGGGAAACUUACGCUAAUACCGCAUACGACCUACGGGUGAAAGCAGGGGAUCUUCGGACCUUGCGCGAUUGAAUGAGCCGAUGUCGGAUUAGCUAGUUGGCGGGGUAAAGGCCCACCAAGGCGACGAUCCGUAGCUGGUCUGAGAGGAUGAUCAGCCACACUGGAACUGAGACACGGUCCAGACUCCUACGGGAGGCAGCAGUGGGGAAUAUUGGACAAUGGGCGCAAGCCUGAUCCAGCCUUACCGCGUGGGUGAAGAAGGCCUUCGGGUUGUAAAGCCCUUUUGUUGGGAAAGAAAAGCAGCAGGUUAAUACCCCGCUGUUCUGACGGUACCCAAAGAAUAAGCACCGGCUAACUUCGU
RNAcentral lists this ribosomal RNA (491 nucleotides) under uncultured bacterium. RNAcentral's name for it is "partial 16S ribosomal RNA". It matches the Rfam family "Bacterial small subunit ribosomal RNA", at positions 29 to 506 of the family's 1533-position model. The record is from RNAcentral.